GUCCACGCCCUAAACGAUGGGCACUAGGUGUGGGAGGUAUCGACCCCUCCCGUGCCGCAGCUAACGCAUUAAGUGCCCCGCCUGGGGAGUACGGUCGCAAGAUUAAAACUCAAAGGAAUUGACGGGGGCCCGCACAAGCGGUGGAGCAUGUGGUUUAAUUCGACGCAACGCGAAGAACCUUACCUGGGCUUGACAUCCCUGGAACCCCUGUGAAAGCAGGGGGUGCCUAGAAAUAGGAGCCAGGAGACAGGUGCUGCAUGGCUGUCGU
This 268-nucleotide ribosomal RNA is filed under the name uncultured bacterium. RNAcentral's name for it is "partial 16S ribosomal RNA". It matches the Rfam family "Bacterial small subunit ribosomal RNA", at positions 793 to 1055 of the family's 1533-position model. The record is from RNAcentral.